Long non-coding RNA from Rhododendron vialii, 4385 nucleotides. RefSeq lists it as uncharacterized. The transcript is spliced from 5 exons. NCBI's taxonomy places the organism in Eukaryota, Viridiplantae, Streptophyta, Magnoliopsida, Ericales, Ericaceae. The record is from RefSeq and is a predicted model, not a curated record.
GAAAGAUGAAGAUGCCUUCAGUCUUAGUCCUCAAACCCCGUUCAUUUAGAGGUUUUGGAUUUUGGAUUCUAAUCAUUAUCCUAUUUCUCUUCAAUCAUUACUCUCAUUUUUCUCUCUAUCUCUCUCUAAUCAUUACCCCUAUUUCCAAUCAUUACUCUAUUUCUCUCUACACUCAUUACCUAUAAAUCCAAAGCCAAAAUCCCAAAAUGAACGGGGUCAAGUCAUUUGACUGCAAUGAAGACCUUAUUUUUGAACUUUUACUUGUAAGAUUGGGGACCUUACCUUUGAACUUGAUUAUGAAAAUUUUGAUUAAAUUUCAGAAAUCUUAUAGCUAUGGUGAUUAACAUUUAACCAGUGUCUCGCCCUCUCUUUUGCAGACAAGCCUUGUGUCCAUUUAUCUAACCCAAAUUGUAGAACAAGGGUUUGAAUCUUGUGCAAUCUUGGUGUGUCAGAAGAUAAUGUGCUCUGUGAUUAAUGGAAUAUAUGAAAGAUCGGAGGUGGAAGGAUAAGAUCAUUUCCUUUUCAUGACUCUUGUAUUAUGAACCAAAAAGCCUAACUUUUAUUAGCAUGGGAAUAUAUAUAAAUUGCAUAAGAAUAAGUAUCACCUUGAUGAUUACUUAACUCUCUUAUUUUCAGGUUAUGGCACUAACGAAGAAAUAUGUGGCGAUGAGAGUAUAAUGAAUGCCUCCGAAUAAUAUCUUUUAGAAGCUUGAAACUUAAUAUAUGAGAGAUUAAUAUGUUCCUAUAUAUCCAAAUGGAAUAUGCAAGGCCUUUGAGAUUGGAUGAUAGGAUGGUUUUUGGGUUAGUUUAGGAAAAAGGAAAAGGAUGGCACUUUAGCUUAAUAAUUCAGAAUCAGAUCAUAGGUUUAAAGAAAAAAAAAGGUUUUUAAAAUUAGAUAGACAGAUACUUCCAUUCUUCUAGUAGCAAAAAAAGCUUGGGAUUAAGGUAGAGGUGAGUAGGGUAUGUUUUUGAAGCAUCUUCACCUUGGCAUUAAUUUAUCUUCCACGUGUAAAGCAGUUGGGGUUGAUUAUGACACAAAAAACUCUUGUAAACAGAUUUUUUCCUGCGGUUGUGCAUUCAUGAUAAACACGUCAAGUGUAUAUUUAGGACCCAAACCGAUAUUGGGACAUACCAUCCCACAAAGAGAGCUUCAUGGAUUCAUGGAAGGUGAAAAGGUCGAGUGAAAUUGUUGAUAUACCCUCUGACAUGUUUGGCAUGAUGCAUGAAAUGUUGUUUUACCCAGCAUUAGUAAUGUUUAAUGAACUUGCAACAACUUUUUCCUAGUCAUUUCCAAGGAAAUUAAUAAGAAGUGCAGCUGGAUGUUAGGGCCUGACAUCUGUUUUCAUGUACAAUUCUGUUUCUGGUAUUACUUACUUGAAUCUUUUUUGUGUUUUGAUACUAAAGUGAGAAUCUAAAAGUCAUUUUUCAUAGUUGAAGGGGCAAUGGAGGGCCACAAGGGCACAACAGAACCUUUGUUGUAAUCAGGACAUUGGCAUCAUCUGCCAAUAAGAGCACCCUCCAAGCAUCAAAAUCUAGUUAACGAGGAACAGAUCUAGAUCAAUGGAAGUAAAAUGUAAAGUGAUGAUUUACAUGCCUGUAUGGAAUUUUUUUUGGCUGUUGUGUUCUUUCAUGGGAUUAGAUUCCGGAGCCAAAAUGCUUCUAAGUCAGAUAAUCCCUUCUUAGUUCUGACUGAUUUAGAUAAACUUGUGGGCAGGUAAUUUCUUUUCAGUAACCUAUCCAAAACGAAGGUCCGUUGAAAGGCAGCUUCUGUUUGAUGCUAUUGAGGACCCCUCAGGUCCUCAGGAACCACCUUGUGUGUCGGUUUCUACCAAGGUAUGACUGGCUUUUCCCAAUUUCUAUCACCUCAUAUGCCUCUUCGCUUUCAGCUAAUUGUCAGGAAUCAUAUCAAUUGCUUUUAAGAAAGAGAGCAAGUGUCAAUUUUGUCACUUAACCGUAUGUCUCUUAUCCUUCCUUACUGGGUCCUGAUUGCUCAAUCGUGGCUCUACUGGAAUAAAUCAUGCAAAAGCAGUGACAUGAAAGACGAAGAUGUUAUGUGCUUGUGGGAAGUUGGGAACAUCUUCAAUCUUAAUCCUCAAGUCAUUUGACGGCAACGAAGACCUUGUUUUUGACUUAAUCAUGACAGUUGUGAGUUAUGGCACUAACGCAGACAUACCUUGUGGCGAUGAGAAUAUGACUAAUACCUCCUAAAAAUCUUUCAGAAAUUUGAAUCUUCAUAUGUGGGAAGUUAUAAUCUUCUUCUACAUCCAAUGGAAUAUGCAAGGCCUUUGAGAUAGGAGGAUUAGAUGGUUUUUUCCUUUUUGGGUUAGUUGAGGAAAAAGGAAAAGCCAGCCACUUUUGCUUAAAAAUUUAGAAUCAGAACAUUGGCUUCAACAAAAGAAGCACCUCAACCUUGGCAUCUUCUCUAUCAAAUGCGAAGCAGUUGGGGUCGAGUAUUGUAAUCUGGAGUGGACAUAACAAACUCUGUUGAAUGUUUUGUCACCGGAUGUGUAUUCACGUUAAACACGUCGCGUGUAUGUUUAGGACCCAACUUUAGUCAGACACACCAUCCCACAUAGAGAGGUGUAGGGGAGGUGAAAAGGUCUAGUGAAUUUCUUGGUUUACCCUCUAACAUGUUUGACGAGUAGAUGAAUGAAAGGUUGUUUUACCCGUCAUUUGUAGUGUUAAAUGCACUUGGGAAAACAUUAUCCUAGUCGUGUAUCAGACGGUUAAUUAGUCCUUUCCAAGGAAAUUAACAAGAAGUUUAGUUGGACGUGAGGGCCUGACAUCUCUUCUCAUGUACGAUACUGUUUUCUGGCAUUACUUAUCGUCUCCUACAUCACUAGCAAAUACCAUGUAACAGGCGAAUUCAGCUGACUGAGGGUGUCUCACAUUUUAGUAUUCUACCAGACUCUUUGUUCACUGAAUACUCCAGAAAAACACCAAAACUGGUGUACAUAUUUGUGUCGUUGCGUGCAUGUUUGUGUGGGAGAGGAAGAGGAAGAGGAAGAGAUCAUGCAAAACGGCACAAAUAUUAUACAUGGAGCGCAAAUAUUUUCACAACAGAGAGUAAGAACACACAAGGUGACCAGAAAGAAAGGUACACUACAUAGUUGUUCUUUUGACAUACGGAACAGCUAUGUGGUACACAGGAACGUUUUGUUGCUAGUAUAAAACAGCUAGAAGACAAAAAGCACUUCAAUAUUUGGCUAUUUUCCCUUUCAUCUUUUUGUUUUUCAAGACUUGGGAAAGACCAGCAGAUUCAUGUUGCUUCCCAACAUUUAUUAGCUCAACGGAGAAAAUUCAUACUGUUUCCCCAAAACACCAAAGUUGUGAUGCUUUGUUUCUGUAAUAGCUACUGCUUCAUAACUUUGGGCUCCUCUGUAGCGACAAAUAACGGGAUCUUCGGUUGGGGGAACCACAUGCCUAAGAAAUGGAAUCGGGGGUCGAUGUUGAGCUUCCUGGUGAGGUGGCAGCGGAGGCAGCUUCUUCUUUUUCCGGCCGGUGUACUCCUCCAAAAUAGCGAAGGCUUCCUUUCCAAUCUUAAUAAGAUCUGCUUGACGUGCCAUGGAAAUUCAACAGCGCACAAACUUUGGAGAACACUUGAAAUCUGUUAUGUGUUUUGAUUACAAAGGUAAGAACCAAGAACCCCUAUAUAUAGAUAUCAGAAAACACUCUUCCUUUCCUCUUCUUUUGGAUUCUAAUCAUAUUUGAAGGGCCACAAUAUUGGAGGGCCACUAGGCCACUCAAAACAGUUGCUGUUAUCCGAACAAUGACAUCAUCUGCUGACAACAGCACACUCCAACCCUCAAAAUCUAGAUCACGACAAAAACAGCUCUAGAACAAGAACCAAUCCAAAACGGAAGUCGGUUGGAACGCAUCUUCCUUUUGAAGCUGUCGACGCCCACUCAGGAACUGCCUCGUGUAUCAGAUUUACACCAUGGCAUGAAUGGCAUAAUCCAAUUUCUUUCAACUCAUAUAUAUGGUUCUUCACUUUUGGCUAAUUAUCAGGAACCAUAUCAAUUGCUCUCAAGGAGGAGAGCAAGUGGCAGUUUUGUCGCUUAACCGUGUGGGACUUAUCCUUCCUUAUGGGACCUGAUUGCUCAAUUAUGGCUCUACUGGAAUAAAUCUUGCAAAAGUAGUGAUAAGAAAGAUGAAGAUGUUAUAUGCUUGUGGGAAUAUCUUCAAUCUUAAUCUUCAAGUCAUUUGACUGCAAUGAAUCGUCGGACUUAAUCAUGAAAUAGUGAGAAGAUUUCAAAUAUGUUACAUAAUUAUGGUGAUUAAUCAGUCUCUGUCUCUAAGAAGCUAAAAUAAGGACAUGAGCCACAGACACACAAACACGGCAAUUCCUAAAAAAUUAGGACACGGACAUGUUGCGGACGCAUCAA